ACUCCUACGGGAGGCAGCAGUAGGGAAUCUUCCGCAAUGGGCGAAAGCCUGACGGAGCAACGCCGCGUGAGUGAUGAAGGUCUUCGGAUCGUAAAACUCUGUUAUCAGGGAAGAACAAAUGUGUAAGUAACUGUGCACAUCUUGACGGUACCUGAUCAGAAAGCCACGGCUAACUACGUGCCAGCAGCCGCGGUAAUACGUAGGUGGCAAGCGUUAUCCGGAAUUAUUGGGCGUAAAGCGCGCGUAGGCGGUUUUUUAAGUCUGAUGUGAAAGCCCACGGCUCAACCGUGGAGGGUCAUUGGAAACUGGAAAACUUGAGUGCAGAAGAGGAAAGUGGAAUUCCAUGUGUAGCGGUGAAAUGCGCAGAGAUAUGGAGGAACACCAGUGGCGAAGGCGACUUUCUGGUCUGUAACUGACGCUGAUGUGCGAAAGCGUGGGGAUCAAACAGGAUUAGAUACCCUGGUAGUCCACGCCGUAAACGAUGAGUGCUAAGUGUUAGGGGGUUUCCGCCCCUUAGUGCUGCAGCUAACGCAUUAAGCACUCCGCCUGGGGAGUACGACCGCAAGGUUGAAACUCAAAGGAAUUGACGG
This 590-nucleotide ribosomal RNA is filed under the name Staphylococcus sp. BcA6.1. RNAcentral's name for it is "bacterial SSU rRNA". It matches the Rfam family "Bacterial small subunit ribosomal RNA", at positions 335 to 916 of the family's 1533-position model. The record is from RNAcentral. Lineage: Bacteria; Bacillati; Bacillota; Bacilli; Caryophanales; Staphylococcaceae.